UGACACGAUCGCGCCUCCCCGGUAUCCUCUCUGUGAACCUUUUUUUAUUAUCUAAUCACUACUAUGAUGUGUGGACUUUUACAAUUUUGAGGAGCUUGCGACUGAAUCUCUUGUAUAUUUUUCUGUUCUUCGAAAGUGCAGAAGUCCAGGUUGUUCCCCGAGCGAACGUGCACCCUCAACUCUGUAGUGCCUGAGAAGCCACAUGGAAGCCCAAUCGUGCGUGCGUUGGUGUCCCUUGAAUUCGUCAUGGAGGUUUUGAUUAGUUUGGGUUGGUUUCUGGCAUGCAAAUUUCACUCACUACACGUUCACUCACAACAAUAACUAUCUUGUUUCAGAUGCAGCGUCAGGCUGUUAUAACAACUUGUGUAGUAAGUAUAUCAGAGUAGCUAGCUUUGUGGAUCCUUCUCAGCAUUGCCACUUGCCUGGAUAUAUUGUCACUAAUUUACUAAUAAAUCAAGAUCCUCCUCACUGACAGGUCACUCCCCACUGCUCUACUCC
RNAcentral lists this long non-coding RNA (498 nucleotides) under Triticum aestivum (bread wheat). RNAcentral's name for it is "long non-coding RNA (TAES_LNC007574)". The record is from RNAcentral. Lineage: Eukaryota; Viridiplantae; Streptophyta; Magnoliopsida; Poales; Poaceae.